Solanum pennellii is the source of this 20692-nucleotide long non-coding RNA. RefSeq lists it as uncharacterized. The transcript has 10 exons. NCBI's taxonomy places the organism in Eukaryota, Viridiplantae, Streptophyta, Magnoliopsida, Solanales, Solanaceae. The record is from RefSeq and is a predicted model, not a curated record.
CGUAAUUUAGAAGUCGUCAAAUUACAGAAGCUAACUCUCCGGCGACUAUGUCCGACCAAAACCCUAAAAUCAAUUUCCGUCACCCAUUGUCUUUGAAGAAAAAAAUAAAGAAAACUUGAUUAUCUCGUUAAGGAAAUUGUUGCCUUUUGAAGUAAAAUUGAUGCAUGUUUUAAGUAAAUCGAAGGAAAUUCUGAUCUUUUUGAAGCAAAUUGCUAUUCAUAUGUUAAGAUUCUUCCAGCCUAUGUUCAAGAAUUAAGCGGAAGUAUGAGGCUAUUUGGAGCGCAGUUCGAUUUGGAUGUUUUCAUGCGUUGAUGUUCAAUCAAACAUGUUGCCUGGCGAGCUAAAGACCCGUUGCUCGGCAUGGCACUUCAGGUGGGUCUAAGAGAUUUUGGAAAAAGUUCCAUUUUAUGGUCCUUUUUCUCUGUCUCAUGGGCAAACUGAUGCUUGCAGCCAUGCUGGGUUUCAUAGCUUUUGAGGUUAUCGUGUUUUGGCACCUCACGACUUUCUACUUUUUUUGUUCUUAUUACUCUCUCUGGUAUAACUUAACAAAGCAAUUUAACAUGUUUUUUCUCGAGUUGAGAACUGUUGCUUGGCAUGAGAUUUAGGAGAAAGUUCCAUUUCAUGGUGAUCUUCUUUGUCUCGUAAGGCUAACUGAAUGCUUGCAGCCAUGACAGAUUUCAAAUACUUUGAGAUGAUUCGUGUUUUUGCUUUGUAAAGUUUAGUUUCUUUACUCCCCCUCACUGAACCGCCCUUUUUCGUGAAACUACACAAGCUUCCUCUUUUCUUAUUCUUAUUACUCUCUCUACUCUAUUUUAUUAGCAAUGAGGAUGUGAAGGUUUUAUCUUCGGUGUAAUUUCAAUAGAAAUUGUUUUCUGUCGAGAUGAUUAAUCUGUUGUUUGGCACGGCACCUCAGGUGGGUCUAUGAGAUUUUGGAAUUAAAUUUCCAUUUCACGGUGGUUCUUCUCUUUCUCAUAAGCCUAGCUGUUGUUUACAACCACGAUGAUGUCAAUGCUUUGGAGUUGAUUAAUUUUACUUGGCAAAGUUCAGUUUCUUUCACACCCCUCACCAAACCUCUCUUUUUGUGAUAUUGCACAUGCACGUCCUCUUUUUGUAUUUUUAUCACUCACUCUGCUUCGUUUUUAUACGCAAUGAAGAUUUGGAUGUUUUCAUGCGUUGAUGUUCAAUCAAACAUGUUGCCUGGCGAGCUAAAGACCCGUUGCUUGGCAUGGCACUUCAGGUGGGUCUAAGAGAUUUUGGAAAAAGUUCCAUUUUAUGGUCCUUUUUCUCUGUCUCAUGGGCAAACUGAUGCUUGCAGCCAUGCUGGGUUUCAUAGCUUUUGAGGUUAUCGUGUUUUGGCACCUCACGACUUUCUACUUUUUUUGUUCUUAUUACUCUCUCUGGUAUAACUUAACAAAGCAAUUUAACAUGUUUUUUCUCGAGUUGAGAACUGUUGCUUGGCAUGAGAUUUAGGAGAAAGUUCCAUUUCAUGGUGGUCUUCUUUGUCUCGUAAGGCUAACUGAAUGCUUGCAGCCAUGACAGAUUUCAAAUCCUUUGAGAUGAUUCGUGUUUUUGCUUUGUAAAGUUUAGUUUCUUUACUCCCCCUGACUGAACCGCCCUUUUUCGUGAAACUACACAAGCUUCCUCUUUUCUUAUUCUUAUUACUCUCUCUACUCUAUUUUAUUAGCAAUGAGGAUGUGAAGGUUUUAUCUUUGGUGUAAUUUCAAUAGAAAUUGUUUUCUGUCGAGAUGAUUAAUCUGUUGUUUGGCACGGCACCUCAGGUGGGUCUAUGAGAUUUUGGAAUUAAAUUUCCAUUUCACGGUGGUUCUUCUCUUUCUCAUAAGCCUAGCUGUUGUUUACAACCACGAUGAUGUCAAUGCUUUGGAGCUGAUUAAUUUUACUUGGCAAAGUUCAGUUUCUUUCACACCCCUCACCAAACCUCUCUUUUUGUGAUAUUGCACAUGCACGUCCUCUUUUGUAUUUUCAUCACUCACUCUGCUUCGUUUUUAUACACAAUGAAGAUUUGGAUGUUUUCAUGCGUUGAUGUUCAAUCAAACAUGUUGCCUGGCGAGCUAAAGACUCGUUGAUUGGCAUGGCACUUCAGGUGGGGUCUAAGAGAUUUUGGAAAAAGUUCCAUUUUAUGGUCCUUUUUCUCUGUCUCAUGGGCAAACUGAUGCUUGCAGCCAUGCUGGGUUUCAUAGCUUUUGAGGUUAUCGUGUUUUGGCACCUCACGACUUUCUACUUUUUUUGUUCUUAUUACUCUCUCUGGUAUAACUUAACAAAGCAAUUUAACAUGUUUUUUCUCGAGUUGAGAACUGUUGCUUGGCAUGAGAUUUAGGAGAAAGUUCCAUUUCAUGGUGGUCUUCUUUGUCUCGUAAGGCUAACUGAAUGCUUGCAGCCAUGACAGAUUUCAAAUCCUUUGAGAUGAUUCGUGUUUUUGCUUUGUAAAGUUUAGUUUCUUUACUCCCCCUCACUGAACCGCCCUUUUUCGUGAAACUACACAAGCUUCCUCUUUUCUUAUUCUUAUUACUCUCUCUACUCUAUUUUAUUAGCAAUGAGGACGUGAAGGUUUUAUCUUCGGUGUAAUUUCAAUAGAAAUUGUUUUCUGUCGAGAUGAUUAAUCUGUUGUUUGGAAUUAAAUUUCCAUUUCACGGUGGUUCUUCUCUUUCUCAUUAGCCUAGCUGUUGUUUACAACCACGAUGAUGUCAAUGCUUUUGAGCUGAUUAAUUUUACUUGGCAAAGUUCAGUUUCUUUCACACCCCUCACCAAACCUCUCUUUUUGUGAUAUUGCACAUGCGCGUCCUCUUUUUGUAUUUUUAUCACUCACUCUGCUUCGUUUUUAUACACAAUGAUGAUUUGGAUGUUUUCAUGCGUUGAUGUUCAAUCAAACAUGUUGCCUGGCGAGCUAAAGACCCGUUGCUUGGCAUGGCACUUCAGGUGGGGUCUAAGAGAUUUUGGAAAAAGUUCCAUUUUAUGGUCCUUCUUCUCUGUCUCAUGGGCAAACUGAUGCUUGCAGCCAUGACAAAUUUCAAAGUUUUUGAGCUGUUUUGUGUUUGGUCUUGGCAAAGUUAAGUUUCUCUCACCCCUCCCCCCAAACAUACACACACACCCCACCAAACCACCUUUUUUCAUGAAGUUACACAUGAGCUUCCUCCUUUCUUAUUCUUAUUACUCUCUCUCUCAUAUUUUUAUAAACGAUGAGUAUGUGGAAGUUUUCUCUUUCAUGGAAGUUCAGUAAAAUUUGUAUUUGUUUUCUCGUGAGCUGAUUAAACUGUUGUUUGGCACGGCACCUCAAGUGGGUCUAUGAGAUUUUUUAAUUAAGUUUCCAUUUUAUGGUGUUUCUUCUCUAUCUCAUAAGGCUAAUUGUUUUUUGCAGCCACAAUGGAUAGCCACAAUGAAUUUCAGAGCUUUUGAGCUGAUUCAUGUUUUUACUUGGCAAUAUGUAGUUUCUUUCCCACCCCUCACCGAACCACCCUUUUCGUGAUACCACACAUAACUCCCUCUUUUCUUAUUCUUAUUACUCAUUUGUUUUAUGAACAAUAAAGAUUUGGAUGUUUUCAUCCGUUGAUGUUCAAUCAAACAUGUUGCCUGCCGAGCUAAAGAAUUGUUGCUUGGCGUGGCACUUAGGUGGGUCUAUGAAAUUUUGGGAAAAGUUCCAUUUUAUGGUCCUUCUUCUCUGUCUCAUAGACAAACUGAUUCUUGCACCCAUGCUGGGUUUCACAACUUAUGAGCUUAUCGUGUUUUGGCACCACAAAGUUCAACUUUUUUGUUACUAAACCACCCUUUUUGUGAAUUUACACGACUUUCUACUUUUCUCGUACUUAUUACUCUCUCUGGUAUAACUCAAAAAAGCAGUUUAACAUGUUUUCUGUUGAGUUGAAAACUAUUGCUUGGCAUGGCACCUCAGGUGGAUAUAUGAGAUUUUCGAGAAAGUUUCAUUUCAUGGUGCGUCUUCUCCAUCUCAUAAGGCUAACUGGCGGUUGCAGCCAUGACAGAUUUCAAAGCUUUUGAGCUAAUUUGUGUUUUGGCUUAGCAAGGUUCAGUUUCUGUUCGUGAAAUUUCACAUGAGCUUCAUCUUUUCUUACUCUAAUUACUCUCUCUACUGCAUUUUCUAAGCUAUGAGGAUGUGGAUGAUUUAUAUUCCGUGGGAUUUCAAUAAUACUUGUUUUCUCUCGAGCUGAUUAAACUGUUGCUUGGCACGGCACCUCCGGUGGAUUAUGAGAUUUUGGAAUUAAAUUUCCAUUUCACGGUGGUUCUUUACUGUCCAUAAAGGCUAACACAGAUUUCACUACUUUUGAGCUGAUUCAUGUUUUUACUUGGCGAAGUUCAGUUCCUUUCACACCCCUCAUUGAACCACUCGUUUUGUUAUGUUGCACAUGCACUUCCUUUUUUCGUAUUCUUAUUACUCACUCUACUUCGAUUUUAUACACAAUAAAGAUUUUGAUGUUUUCAUCCGUUGAUGUUCAAUCAAACAUGUUGCUGUCGAGCUAAAGAACUGUUGCGUGGAAUGACACUUCAGGUGGGUCUAUGAGAUUUUGGGAGAAUUUCCAUUUUAUGGUCCUUCUUCUCUGUCUCGUUGGCAAACUGAUGCUUGCAGCCAUGUGGGUUUCACAGUUUAUGAGCUAAUCGUGUUUUGGCACCACAAAGUUCAAUUUUUUUGUCACUAAAUCACCCUUUUUGUGAAACUAAACGACUUUCUACUUCUCUUGUACUUAUUACUCUCUCUGGUAUAACUCAAAAAAGCAAUUUAACAUGUUUUUUGUCGAGUCGAAAACUGUUGCUUGGCAUGGCACCUCAGGAGGGUAUGAGAUUUUGGAGAAAGUUCCAUUUCACGGUGCGUUUUCUUUGUCUCAUAAGGCUUAACUGAUGCUUGCAGACAUGAAAGAUUUCAAAUCUUUUGAGCUGAUUUCGUGUUUUGGCUUGGCAAUGUUCAGUUUCUUUUGGUAAAAUUGCACAUGAUUUCCUCUUUUCUUAUUCUAAUUAUUCUCUCUGCUCGAUUUAUAAGCGAUAAGGAUGUGGAUGUUUAAUCUUCCGUGGGAUUUCAGUAAUACUUGUUUUCUCUCGAGCUGAUUAAACUGUUGCUUGGCACGACACUUCAGGUGGAAUUAUGAGAUUUUGGAAUUAAAUUUCCAUUUCAUGGUGUUCCUUUACUGUCACAUAAAGGCUAACUGUUGUUUGCCGCCACGACGGAUUUCAAUGCUUUGAGUUGAUUCGUGUUUUUACUUGGCAAAGUUCAGUUCCUUUCACACCCCUCACUGAACCACUCUUUUUGUGAUGUUGCACAUGCACUUCCUUUUUUCGCAUUCUUAUUACUCACUCUACUUCGUUUUAUACACAUUGAAGAGAUGAAUGUUUUCAUCCGUUGAUGCAUUGCCUGUCGAGCUAAAGAAUUGUUGCUUGGCACGGCAUUUCAGGCAGGUUUAUGAGAUUUUGGGAGAAGUUUCAUUUUAUGGUCCUUCUUCUCUGUUUCAUAGGCAAACUGAUGCUUGCAGCCAUGAAUGUUUCACAGUUUAUGAGCUUAUCGUGUGUUGCCCUACAAAGUUCAAUUUUUUUGUCACUAAAUCACCCUUUUGGUGAAACUACACAACUUUCUAAUUUUCUUGUUCUUAUUACUUUCUCUGGUAUAACUCAAAAAAGCAAUUUGACAUGUUUUUUCUCGAGUUGAAAACUGUUUCUUGGCAUGGCAUCUCAGGUGGGUAUAUGAGUUUAGGAGAAAGUUCCAUUUCACGGUGAGUCUUGGCUGCUUGGGGACUCGCAUAAAUAUAAUGGCUGGAUGGAAUAACAAUACAAGACUGUUCAUUAUGUGCCACUCAUACCAGGUAAUGAUGACAAAAUGUGUGCAACUAAUUAAUGAUCUUUUCCAUCAUGCAGAAACUAGAGCAGUAAGGAGACUGCAGAAGCUUUCUGGAGUUUCCGCAGCUGUCAUCCCAUCAAUGUGAUCAAUCUUCCACCCUAAGUUGUGGUGUUUGUGUAUUCUUUGAUGAAAGGCCAAGUGUGCAAAUGAAACUUGUUAUUUGUUAAUUCCUGGAAUAGCAAAUUACAAGCUCAAGGGGAGUGCACAAGUACAUGUGAUGGGGAGUAAAAAGAAGGUGCAAUUAUGUUUGGAGAUGCAUUUAUACCUUCAAAGUGUUCUCUCUCUCAUUGUUGAGGAGUUGAAGCACACUUCGUUGUGUUUUCAAAAUUGCAUUUCAGGAAAUAUUUGUGUUGGAACUGCAUUUGAUGAUAUACCUAUGAAUUAUGAGAUUAGGAAAAAGAGGUACAGGACCCAGAGUUGCAAAUCGACACAUGUACUUCCUUCCCCUCAGCCAAGAAACUGACAGGAAAGUGCACUGUUAGGAUAGAGAUUUGAUCUUCUCAGAAUAUUCUGUGCGGAAGUGCUCUGAUAAGCAUGAUCCCGAAGUCAGAUUCCUCAGUCAGAUCGAAAGUUCAAGUCGUUCAAUUGAUGGCUCUCUUGCUCAUCGCAGUCUGUGUAAACUGUUCCAGUUAUAAAUCUGACUGCCGGUCAGGUUCAGGAUGGGAUGAUGAGUCAUUUAGGGAAUGUAACUUCAAAAAGCCAACAAGUUAAUGUGUUAACACCAACCCGUCCAUAGAGUCGCCUUGAAGAUGAUUUUAAUGUUGAAUUUGAAAUAGCUAAUGAUGUUAUCCAGGUCUUAAAUCAAAUGUUCCCUAGAAGCAAGGAAAUAUAUUUUGAGAACUUCUCCUGGUGCAAAAUUAAGAGCAAGGCAUCUUAGAGGUCAAAAUUUUUGUCGGAGAUUCAGAGGAAAAAGCUUAAUUAACCAAGUCAUACUGGAUGAAGACGAUCAUCUUAUGGAUUUCGUUUUACAGACCAAAAAUUAUGGUUCUGACCUGCCAUUUUUCGUCCAGACCGUCUCCUCUGCCAUUAGAUCCUUUGCUCGAGACCAGGUUUUGAGAUGUUAUUCUUUGCAUCGCUGAAAAUGAGAUUGGAACUUCUGUCGAACAUGAAGUUGUUUUCACGUAUAAUUUUGGAAAGAAUGGAACAUAGUCUCUUGGUACUGCCAUAAAUAAUUUGGAAAAAGAGGACUGCUUGUUCCCAAAUUCUGCAAAGUUUAAUUUCAAUUUUUAUGCUCUUUCUUGAGAGGAUAUAGCCAGUAUAGGGGGACAUGAUCCAUGGGAUGUUUCUGGUUCAGGUUCUUCUGAAUUCUAUAAUGAUGGAAAUGAUUUGACACAUAUGUAUUCUCAUAGUGAAGAGAAUCUCAAGAAUUAUUUGAUACUAUGCUCUCCUCUAGGGUGGAUGGGGACUCACAUAAAUGGAUUGAUGUUGGAAAUAGAGGUGAAAUGGAUAAGCUAUAAGGAAGAAGAUGAGUAGAAGAAGCCAUUGCUCCUCCAUUUUACCAAGGUAAAAAAAAGUUCUUUGCCACGAGUGAGGCUACAAGAAAGGCAGCAGGAAAUAACAAUAUUAAGAUUGUUCACGAUGUGCCACUCAUGCCUGGUAAUUUGUGCUCGAGUGCUUUGACCAUGCUUUUGCAGGUCAUCCCUGAAAUUGGUUACCAAUUACUAUACAACUAUGCUGACCAAAUUUAAAACUGGGGAUGGAUCUGCAACAUUUAUUUUCAAGCUUCAAGAUCAUUUACCAGGUAAGUUACGAUCUUUGUAUAUAUUUGAUCACACAACAAUGGUGUAUCGAACUUGAAAAAAUUGCCAUUUACCAGAAAUUGCAUUGCAUUAAAUAUUGCAAGAUUUCAUCAAAGUUAAACCUAAAUAUGAGCAUGGAGUUAUAUUGUUUUGGUUUAAGCAGGAACUUAAAUCUGAUUCACAAAAACCCAACAUCUGUCACACUUCUUGCUGUAACAUUCUCUUAUACUUGUCCCUGUCAUAUUGUAUUACAUGCAAACCAUUUGCAGAUCAGUCUUAGAAGGGAAAGGUAUUGUAGUACUGAUUAUGGUUGUUCAUACAGGCUAUUUGCUCACUUACUUUCUCAAACCUUUUACUACACCUUUAUAUCUUAUUCUCUUUGACAUUCACAUUCCUCCCUCAUAAGGAUAUUUGCCGGUGUAAAUGUGGAAAACAAAGCAUGACAAGCACUUCUUCUCAUGCUAGUUAUUCCAUUCUGUGGUAUCAUCAACAGUUAUAUAUUAGUUCUGUGUUCCAUCUUGUUUAAAGCAAGAAGGAUUUUCAAGUGUCAUUUGUGUGCAUUUUCUCUUAAGGUCCAUUUUUGAGGGGAGGUUGCCUCCCUUCUCUGGUAAUCCCUGAUUUUUUUUGUAAUUUUGCACUUAUGCUAGUUUGCAUCUCUGUUUUUGCAAGUAAUUACUUCUGAACCCGUUUUUGUUGCAUUAACUCAGAAUGAGGCAACAGAGAGAAUAAUGGGAUUUCUGUUCAAGGGUGGUUGCCCUACUCUAUGAUUUGCCUGUGAUUCUUUCAUUUUCUAAACAAAUCAACAACCCUUAAAAAAGAGAAAGAGACAUAGAUAGAGUACACUACAGUUUUUGGGCUUUCCUCCCAUCAUUUAAGUUCUGGACUGUGAUUUUCUUGAGCUGAGGCCUAUUGGAAACAACUUCUCUAGUCCCCCCACAAAGGACCGGGGUAAGGUCUAUCUACCAAUGCUAGCUUUUAAGUAUAGGGUAAGGCUGUGAUGAUGACAAAUGAAGUUGUAUUGAGUUGGGUCAGGGAUUGGAGCUACCCUUAUCUUGGCAAGGUAACCUGGUAAGGCAUCAGCGUUUUGCAACGGAGGUCUGCAGCCAUGGCGGUUAGUUUGUCUCCUUGCUUGGUUUUAUUACAAAUCUGAGCCUCAGGAGAAAGAAUUGGCAUUGGCAGAAGGAUGCUUGAAAUCUUGUGAAUUCCCUUUUGUUAGCCUAAAAAAUUCAAGAAUGAGGCAGCAGAGAUUAUGGGAUUUCUAUCAAGGGUGGUUGCCCUUAUCUCUAUGCUUUGCCUAUGAUUCUCCAUUUUCUAAAACAAACUAACAGCCCUUAAAAAAGGAGACAGAGUACACUUGAGUUUCUGGAUAUCUUUGCAUUUUUGCACUCUUAAACAUAUGCUCAUAAGGAAAUAAACAUACAACAACAACAGCAUGACUAUGAAAAUUAUUAAAGAGGCAGUGAUGAUUUCUGGGCUAACUAAAUUCGGGCAUUGAGAUUACCCAACCCGUAUCUUGGCGGCUGAACCCGGUAUGGCCUGUGAUUGAGACGCAUAACUCACACAUGCAAUUGUUUGUUGCAUCCAUGGUGUGGUUGGCUUCUCUUUGGCCUUAUCUUUACACAAAUCUGAGCCUCAAUUUGCUAAAGAAAAAAAGAGAAUAGGGUCAAAUUUACACCUUCACUAUGCAUAACGAGCAAUAUCUUUUCCAUGAUUAAUGUGGAGAUAUUGUACCCACACCGUUCUGAUUUGCAGUUUUAAUGCUUAUUUAUAAUGUAUCUCCAUGUUUUGAUAGCUUAUUCACUUCAACAUUGAUUGUAGUUGGUAAUACAUGAUUAGGUACUCACCUACAUUCUUAACCUUUUACUACACUUCAUAGUUUAUAAUCUUCAACAUUCAUAUUGCUCCCUGUCUAAAUGUGCAAAUCAUAGCAUUCCAACUUAAUUUUUACAACUUAAUGACUUCAUUUAUGUUUUAGGAAAUACUCCACUAGCUAACAAGAUUCUCUGGCACAUAUUUCAUAAGAAAAUGAUUGUUUUCUUCAUAAUACAGGUUCUAUGUAUUGUAUGUAUCUGAUGUGAGCCUGUUAGAAUUGAUUCAACUAGUUGGUCCAUCGACCCUGACUAGCUCUCUUUAUUUACUCCGUUAUAUAAUUCUAAUCUUCUUGUGGAAUCUAUCUUAAGUUCUUGCUAAAUGCCGUGUCAUGUUCUAUGAAUAAUGUAUUUGCUACCCAAAGGCCACAGCUUGCUGCCAACAGAUGGAUCAUCAAUAGUUCCCCUAUCAGUGAAUUGGGUCCUGAAUUAAACGAUGCAUGGGGGAGUAAGUUAAUAUUUUUUAUUUAUGAAUUUGGAGCUACCUUGAUGCUCUCUCUUGCCUCCACCUACCCCCACAUAAGAAAAAGAGAAAAAUGAUUUAGAAUCAAAAGUGUUUUAAACAUAUUUUGCUUUAUCCCUGAUGUCUUUCUUUCCAUUUGUGUUGGAACAAUAACUCCGAUAUGGAUGAGUAUGUCUAGAAUCCAUGCUACGUGGUGUUCUUAUGUUGAAGCAAGCAAUGCUAUAAACUUGGAACAUUCAGAGUGUCCUUUUGAUUGUGUAUAAAUGAGCUAACCCAAGUCAAGCCCAACAUUAGUCAGGUCCAUUUCAACUUGGUACAUUGAGAGAUGAGCUCAAGGUUGGCUCGAGUCUAAUCAAGCCCGAGCUCAAGUCAAACAGUUUUUUUAUGGAUGACUGUGAUGUCCAGGCCAACUUGCGUGCACCUCGAUAAUCAAGUUUUUGCUGCUAUAUAUAUGGCUGGCAAUAUAUAUAGCAUCUAACUAUGUGGGAGAGAGGUUGAUGGGAAGGAACAACACUAAGAGAAGGAUAAAAUACAAUAAUUUUUUAGAAGAGAUGUGUGGAGCUUUGUGUAAGCACCAGAUAUGGUGCACGAAUGAUUUUUAUUUUUGGUAAACUGAAAAUCUUAUGAAAAACAUUAGACCACUAUCUAAAACCUUAUAAGUUAUUGCAAACAUUAAUUAAUUGAUGAACAAUAAGUUCGAUCUAACAUUUAGGUGCCUAUCUGAAGCUCCUUUACUAGCUUCAAGAUGUUCAGUUGAUAAUUUUUCUGUACAUACAUGUUAACGAGAGAUGAUCUGCAAGUUCAUAAUCUAUACUGCCUUUCUGUUUCUUGAAAGGCUUCUUGAGAAUGUCCCGACUGGGAGUGAAUGUUAUUUCCGAAAACUAGAAAGUUUCAAGAUUCAUUCCGUUUUCUUUAAUUAUUCAUUUGCUGGUCGUGGGAACUGGAUCAUGACAGGGAGGGUUGAUAUGUUUGUUCUUUGGGACUUAAAUCGCUAGAGAUGCCUGUACCAACUAACACACUUGGACCCACUUUUUUCAACUUCUCAUUACACUUUACAGAUGCUCAAAUUGAUGAUGUUUGUUUUCCAGAGCAUGCUAGGUCUGAAAAUGCUUGAAUUUCAACUGAGAAGGCUUGGUGCUUUCGAUGCUGAAAAUAGUAUUAUCUCACACCCCAACCUUGACGAAAUCUUCAAACUCUGUGAGAAUAUACUUAAUAUCUGUGUUAAAGCUUCUAUGCUGGAUACAUAUUAAGCUUUUUUACCUUGACCUGUUUAUUCUUUUACCUUAAAACUAUUUGCAGUGUGGGCCAACCAUGGGGAUGAUAUAACAUCCAGUAUGAAGGCUGCAUUUGUGCAAAGCAUAUUUUUGGAGAGUGCAGUAAUAUAAAUACAUACAUAGUAGGAUUCAAAACCCUGAAAAUCAACGAACAUUAUAUAACCAUCAUUGACAAAGAUACUAGGUUUUGGCCAAUUACAUACAUAUGAAGAGUAAGAAUCUGGGCCUGGAUCGUUUAAUGCUAACUGCACAAUUCCAUCGAUAAUCUAUCUCUAGAUUAUGAUGGAUAUAGCAUACAACUAAAAAUGUUUAAGUCAAGAAAUUGAUAUUAUGACCUCAAACUUUUUCUUUCGUCGAUCAAUCUCACUAUAAAAUCUACAUUGUUCUUUGAUAUGUAGAUGUGGUCACAGAACAGCCCAGGGGGUUUUCGCUGACAGCUGGAAUGCCCUAAUAUGAUACUACUUGAGCAAUUUUGUUGGUAGUACUAAAUAGUAUCUGUAGUAUUUAAUUAUGAUGGAGGAGGUAGAUCCUUCACAGAAAUCAUAUACAUGGAUCUGGCUUUGGGAACUUCGAGAUCAGUAUGUUUUUGAGUCUACUGAUGGAUCCUGUGUUUCGUGCUUGGAGAUCAGUUUGCGUGCAUGGGUCUGUGAAACUAAUAGAUGAGGUUCCAGAAUGCUGUUCGAUUCGUGUCCCACUAUUCAGAAAAUAUUUGGUGUUAUCAGCAUACUAAAGCAUUUUGCUUAUAAGUGUUAUCAGCAUACUAAAGGUUUGGAAUCAGGAGUCCAUGAUUGGAGUCUCAUCACUUGGCCAGCUAUGCUCAUUCUUUGCUUGGUCCAGAUCAUAUUAUAAUCCAAUUCAUUGUCGAGGUCUAUAUAGACAUGUCUAGAAUUAAAAUGAGCAAUUUUAACUCCCCCUCGAAAGCUGAGUUUGCAGAACAAAACUCUUUCUAAUCAAUUCCAUUUAUGGCAUGGUGUAACUGAAUUUCCCAAUAAGAGUAUAUUUACACAUAGCAGCUAAUUCCCCCAAAAUUUCUUCUUUCUUGAACAGGACAGCAGGUAGACCUUGUUUCAGGGGUGGCCAGUUUUAUGGGAAAAUCAAUUUUGGCUUGGUUGUGUCUAAGUCUAUCAGCACAGGUUUGGACAACAGUGUAGGUGCAGGUUCAGGGAUGUGGUCGUUUCUGGAGGGAUUAUUUUGAGGUUGUUCAGGGUUGUCAUAAGUAGAACCUGGUUUGGGGGGGAAUUCUGUUCCUUUGGUUGAGAUUUUGAUGGUCAAAAUUACUGAAUAUCUUGGGGAAAUUACUGCCAGGUUGAGGUUGAACAGAGUUGGUCUUAAUUUGAGGGUGCUGCUGCUUAUCUUUAGGUUGCCAGACCUGGUGGGGAUAAUGUAUAUGUUGAUUGUUGAACCUAGGAACUUGACUGUUAGUAUGACCCUGUUCCUGCUCUCUAGUAGUUACAGCUCAUGCAAAUUUAUCUCCACAGUACCUUUAGGCAUUAGAUUAAUAGGAGUGUUAGAGUUAGAAACCAUACCUGAAUGCCCCUGAAUUGCUGUCUUCUGUAUUUCCUGCACUUCCAUUGCCGAUAUGCUUUGGUUCCCCUGCAUAUUUGCAUCAACAGAUUUCUCAAGCAAAGGUGGAAAAUUACCUUGAACUGGUGGUAUGGUGCUGAUUGCAGAACGAUCAUGCAGCAUUUCUGCAUUCAAUUGUGCCUGCUCAUGCUCCAGCCUCCAAGUUAUGCAUUCCAGAGGAGAAGUUAGAAGAAUUUGGCAUUUGGUUAAUGUUCUCUCCUUCUUCUGCCUGCUUUUCCUUUUUCCAACAUCCUUAUCCCUAUUCUAUGAUUGUUCUUGUUCUGUUCCUCUCCCCAGAUUCUCCUUUGUUUGUUCAAGUGUCAACUUGCUUGAUUUUGCACCUUUUCCUUCAUUCGAAUUAUUGUGUUGUUGUUCCAUUGUAAUGUAUUGUGGAAUCUCGUUGGUACUUCCCAGGCACCCCUCUUGUCGUUGCUCUUUAUCAUUACAGAUCACUAGAGCUCCGGUCAAAUCGCCUGAAAAUUCAUUGACUAUGAUUUUACCGACAAAAUAACUUGAAAUUUCAGUGAGAUGUUCCUCUAGCAUAGGGGAGCAAUCCCCAUUAAACAUUUCUACUCGAAUCUCCUCCUAAGUACAUCCAAUUUGAAGGCGCGAUUUGGGCGAUUCACAAGCGAUUCCCCCAUAAAUCGCCUCUCGAUUUCUCGCGAUUGGGAAGGUGAAUUCAUGUGAUUUUUGAGUGUAAUAUAGAUCUUUGGCUUGUGAAUCACCUUCACCACUCUUUAGAACUUGAAUCUCGCCUAAGCGUGCCAUGGAAAUAAUUUUUUAAGCCCAGUCCAACUCCCUCUCCGAAAUUGCGACGUACAUCUCCUCUUCUCUUUGUAAUUUCAAGGAGUUGUAGGAUGAAUCUGAAGACGAGACUAGAUGGGUUUUGCUCAUAUUAGGUCUGUGCAUCAUUUCCAUUUGGUCCGGCGGUCUGGAAAGCUCUACCGGCGAAUAUUAGCCAUUCCGGCAGUGCUAGAGCCGCUGUGUAAACUAGCCGUUAGGGCCAAUUUUUUGGGAGCGUUUAUUAGAGAGAGAAUGUAGAGAGAGAGAAAAUUCAAGAAAUGAGGGGGCGAUGGGGAUUAGGGUUUAGGGUAAAUCAGAUGAUGUUUCUCUCCCCAGGCUAAGUGUGAAAAUGAAACUUGUUGACAUCUGGAAUAGCAAAUUAAAAGCUCAAUGGGAGUGCACAAGUACAUGUGACAGUGAGUAAAAAGAAAGAAAACCAUUCCUUCCAUUUGUUCCAGACCUAAUAAGAGCCUAAGUUGCAUGGACUCUUCACUGUUGCUGUUGCACCUGUAUACGAGACGCGUGCGCGUAUCACACGCGUCCGAGGGGUACGUGUGGGAUUUGGUCAACCCACAUUGGAUACUUUGACCCCGAGUCCAUGGAAAAAUUUGUGGGAAAAUUGAGAUAUCAAAAAAGAUAAAGACAAUAGAUUAAAACAUGGUAAAUGACUUACAUUCAAUAUUAUAUUCCUUUUGCCUCCUUUUUAGCUUUUUCCUCUAGGUCAAUAUUUGUUGCUUCAUGUUUUAUGCCUAAUGGAGAGAAACUAAGAGUUCAAGCAGAUGUGUUUGGCUUCUGGUACACAGUAGCAAUGAUCUGUACGGAGAGUUGGUGGAAUUAAGUCCUUAAAUGCCUUCCGUUUUGUUAUUUUAGGGGAACAACCAAAGACCUUGAAUGAAGAAGUUGGGGUCUUGGGGAAAAUGAGUAAGAAGAUCUUUCAAAAUUUAAAAUAUCUCUAUAGUUCUAUUUUAUAUUUUGGAAUUUUUUAGCCAAAUUCCAGCACCCGUAUCGCUGACAUUAUUCACAUUUUAGGAAAUACUCUACUGGCUAACAAUAUUUAAGCACGUUUUUCAUAAGAAAAUGAUUGUUUAGUUAUGGAUAGAGUGGACAGAUACUGAGGAAUGGGGAUCAACAUAGCAGGCCAACUAAUUCUAGGAGUGAAGCAUAAUUGAUGGAUUGAUUCCUGAUGUUGCCAUUCUAUUUAUUUUAUUUAUUUGCCUAGGUGCAAUUAUGUUUGGAGAUGCAUUUUUACCAUCAAAAUGUUCUCUCAUUGUUGAAGAGUUGAAGCAGACUUCAGUGUGUUCUCAAAAUUGCAUUGCAGGAAAUAUUUGUGUUGGAACUGCACUUUAUGAGCUGUAAGGAGACUGCAGAAGCUUUCUGCCCGAGCUUCCGUAGCUGUCAUCCCGCCAAUGUGAUCAAUCUUCCACCCUGAGUUGUGGUGAUUGUGUAUUCUUUGAUGAAAGGUAAAUGUUACAAAAUUUCUUGGGAGGGUUAAGGUAUCUUUCUGAUAUUAUACCACAGCUGUCAUCUCAAUUUUUUUCCGGUAAAGAGGUUUGAUCUCAACUCAUAUGCUCUUUCUAGAAAUGACAUAAGCCAAUAUAUGGGGGACAUGAUCCAUGGGAUGUUUUUGGUUCAGGUCUCUCUGAAUUCUAUUAUGAUUGAGAUGAUUUGACACAUGCAUUCUCAUUGUAGAGAAUCUUAAGAAUUAUUUGGUACCACGAGCUACGCUCUCCUCUAGGUUGGAUGGGGACUCACGUAAAUGGCUUGAUGCUGGAAAUCGGGUUAAAACAGAUGAGCUUAUAAGGAAGAAGAUGAGUAGAAGAAGUCAUUGCUCCUCCAUUUUACCAAGGAAAAAAAGUUCUUUGCCACAAGUGGUCGACAAGAAAGGCAGCAGUAAAUAACAACAUUUAGACUGUUCACGAUGUGACACUCAUGCCUGGUGAUUUGUCCUUGAGUUCUUUGACCAAGCUUUUGCUGGUCAUGCCUGAAAUUGGUUACCAAUUACUACACCACUGUGCUGACCAAAUUCAAAACUGGGGAUGGAUCUGCAACUUCCAUUCUCAAGUUUCAGGAUCAUUUACCAAUUACAAUCUUUGUUUAGAUUUUGAUCACACAACAAGUCUGUGGAACUCGAAAAAUUGCCAUUUACCAGAAAUUCCAUUGCCCUAAAUUUUGCAACAAUUUAUCAAAGUUAAACCUAACUCUGAGCAUGAAGUUAUAUGUUUUGAUAAAAAAAGAAACUUAAAUCUGAUUCACAAGAAGUCAACGUCAGUCACACUUCUUGAUGUAAAGUUCUCUUAUACUUGUCUCUGUCAUAUUAUAUAUUCAAAAUGUGAAAGUACAUGUAAAUGUGGAAAACUUCUUCUCAUGCUAGUUAUUCCAUUCUGAGGUAUCAAUAACAGCUUAUAUCGUUCUGUGCUCCAUCUUGUUGAAUACAGGAAGAAUUUUCAAGGGUUUAAGCCUUUUAAGUGUCAUUUGUCUGCAUUGUCAUUUUAGUUCCAUUUUUGAGGGGUGUUUGCCUCCCUUCUCUGGUAAGCCCUGAUUUUUUUUUUUGACGUUUUGCACGUAUGCUAGUUUUGCAUUUCCAUUUUGCUAGUAAUUACUUGUGAACCCCUUUUCGUUUGAUUAACGCUGAAUGAGGCAGCAGAGAGAAUAAUGGGAUUUCUAUUAGAGGGUGAUUGCCCUUCUCUAUGCUUUGCCUAUGAUUCUUCCAUUUUUCUAAACAAACCUACAGCCCUUGAAAAAAAGAAAGAGACAUAGAUAGAGUACACUACAGUUUCUGGGUCCCCCCCCCCCCCAAAACAAGUCAUUUAGGUUCUGGACUGUGAUUUUCUUGAGCUGAGAUCUAUUGGAAACAACUUCUCUAGUCUCCCACAAUGGACCGGGGUAAGGUCUAUCUGCCAAUGCUAACUUUUAAUUAAUAAUUAUAGGGUAAGGCUUUGAUGAUGACAAAUGAAGUUGUAUAGUGUUGGGUCAGGCGUUGGAGCUACCUUUAUCUUGACAAGGCAACCCGGUAAGGAAUCUUCGUUUUGCAACUGAGGUCUGCAGCCAUGGCAGUUGCUUUGUCUCCUUUUGCCUGGUUUUAUACCAAAUCUGAGCCUCAGGAAAAAGAAUUGGCAAUACACACAACUAUACUACAACAACAUGAAUAUAAAAAUUAGUAAAGAGGCAGUGAUGAUUUUUGGGCUAAGUAAAUUCGGGCAUUGAGAUUACCCUACCCGUAUCUUGGCGGGGAAAACCGGCAUGGCCUGUAAUUGAGACGCAUAACUCACACGUGCAACUGUGUUUGCAUCCAUGGCGUGAUUGGCUUCUUGUUGGCCUUAUCAUAACACAAAUCUGAGCUUCAAUUUUCUAAAGAGAAAAGGGAAAAGGGUCAAAUUUCCCCUUUAUUAUGCAUAAGGGGCAAUAUCUUUUCCAUGAUUAAUGUGGGAGCCACCGAACCCACAUUGUUUUGAUUUGCAGUUUUAAUGCUUAUUUAUAAUGUAUCUCCAUCUUUUGAUAGCUUAUUCUCUUCAACAUUGAUUGUAGUUGUUAAUAUCCAUUAGGUUUUCACCUACAUUUUCUAACCUUUUACUACACUUCAUAGCUUAUUCUCUUCAACAUUCAUAUUGCUUUAUCUGAAGGAUGAUAUGUCUGUCUAAAUGUGCUAUCAUUCCAACUUAGUUUGUAAAACUAUUCAUACAUCAUUCAUGUUUUAGGAAAUACUCCACUAGCCUAGAAGAUUCUCUUGCACAUUUUUCAUAAGAAAAUUAUUGUUUUCUUUAUAAUAUAGGUUGUGUAUUUUAUGCGUUAAUCUAUCUGAUGUGGACCUGUUAGAAUUGAUCAACUAGUUGGUCCAUCAAUACUGACUAGCUCUCAUAUUUUACUCCUUUAUUUAAUUCUAAUCUUUCUUAUGGAAUCUAUCUUAAGUUCUUGCUUAAUGUUGUGUCAUGUUCUCUGAAUAAUGUAGUUGCUACCCAAAGGCCACAGCUUGCUGGUACAGAUGGAUCAUCAAUAGGUACCCCAUCAGUAAAUUGGGUCCUGAAAUUAAACGAGGCUUGCAGGAGUAAGUUAAUACUUUUGAUUUAUGAAUUUGGAGCUACCUUGAUGCUCUCUUGCCUCCACCCACCCCCACAUAAGAAAAGGAGAAAGACAAAUGAUUUAGAAAGAACCGAAAGUGGUUUAAAGAUAUUUUGCUUUAUUCCUGAGGUCUUUUUUUCCAUUUGUAUUGGAAUAAUAACUCCGAUAUGGAUGAGUAUAUCUAGAAUCCAUGCUAGGUGGUGUUCUUAUGUUGACUAUUAUGCCAAAACCCUUGGAUGCAGGAUAACAUAAGGAAGUUGAAAUGAAUAAUUAGCCUCCAAAAAGUAUUAUCAUUUACUUGUUCCUUUGAGACAAAGGUAAGCACAAACAAAAGGUUUUGGUCAACAAAGUGUUCUUUACAUGUGAGAUAUGGCUUAUGUUGAUAUUUGUUCGCGUCAAUGUCUCCUAAAUUUGUAAAGAUUAAGAAUUUUUUUGGUUAAGUGUGAAUGUCUUGACAUACUAUUUGAUGUUCUUCACAAGUACGGGAAGUUGAUGGACACAGACCAUGCACCUAUCUUUGUUAUCAGUUUCUCUACAUCUUAUGUGCUUUAAAUUUCGAAUAGAAAGUGUAUCAAGUUAAAAUAGUGUUUGUUUGAUGGCUUAGUCAUAGGGGACUUGGGAGAUAGUAACAGCAAUUUCCGUUUCAGACAUGGAAACAUGAGUCAAAUAAGAUUUCUUCGACUAUCAUGUACAGUUGGACUGGUCGCCAAGCUUUCAACUUUUCCUGCAGUAAAUUCAGUCUAACCUUUUUUCUAUACAACAUCUCUCUGUCUUCGAGUUUGUCGGAUUAUUUGCUGGCAAAGGCUACAGUUGAAGUGGUUUGCCUUUUGAGCAAUAAGAGCUCAAAAUCGGACAGAUAAUGGCGCCUUAAGGUAGCAAAUCCUAAAUCAUAAUUGAUGCUUGCACUUUUCCAAUCAAAUGCCGCGUAAUUUUGAUUUACUUGUUUGCGUCGUCAGCUUUUAGACAUGCCCAAGGACAAUAUAGUUUUCUCAACAGUAGGUAUAGACUAAGUGGAUACUCAUUUAGCAGAUUCCACAACCAGUAUUUUUUACCCUGUUGGCUGUUGGAGAGCAUGCUUGUCACUGUCUUAGAGAAACUAUGACAUAAGUAGAUCAAAAAAAGAAGCCAGGUCAUAUGUUACUAGUGUCAUUAAGAGAAGCCAGGUCAUCAUUUGAUAUGAUUUUGAUAAUCGGAAAGCAGACAGAGGAAGACAAGGGAAUCGAGUGAAAACAUUGAAUAUUCAUUUUUUUGGCUCUCGCGUACCAGAAAUGUUUAUAGGAGAUGAAGCAAAGUAUGUUCAGUAUAUAAAUAUGGUUAUUUUGCCUGGUCUUCCUGUGGGUUAGUUCCAGAAAGGCUUACUUGUAUCAAGUGAAACAAAAGACGGCUGAGUGACUUGUAUAUGGGUGCUCUCUGAUGCAGCUGAUUGUUUAAUGUUUGACACUCCUAAAUGGAGUCUGGAAUUAGAUAAAUGUGACAUAGAAAAGACUAAGAGCUUGUUUGGAUUGACUUAAAAGUUGAUCAAACUUACUUUUAAUUCCUUUUUAGCUUUUGAGAGAGUUUGGCUAGAUAAACGUGAAAUAGAAAAGACUAAAAAGUAUGUUGGAUUGACUUAAAAGUUGGUCAAACCUACUUUUAAUUCCUUUUAGCUUUUGAGAGUGUUUGGCUAAGUUCAAAAUAACUUGAAAUGAGUUAAAGAUGACUUAAAAAAAGUUUUAAGUAGGCACUCCUCUACUUUUCUUUUUUUAACUUAAAAGUUAUUUAAGUUUGACUUUUUUAAAACUUCUUUUAAAAAGCUACUUUUUUAAGUUAAGCCAAACGGGCUCUAAUAUGCCAAAUUGACACAUGCAUGCUCACUCCUGACCGUCCCUUUUCUAUUUAAGAUCCUCUACUGUUUCCAUCUGAGAUGAUGUGCUUCCUUUUAGAGACCUUUCCUCUUUUAUUAUCUAUCUAUCUAUCUUGUUGACUAAUUUUUACUUAAGUUUUCAAAUUGUUGUUCCAUCCUUGUUGGUUAAGUAUUUCCAUUUCCAGGCUUUUCGCUAAGGUGUACCUGGUAUAUUUCUUCCUACUUCGAUUAAAUUUUGCAUCUCACCCUGGAUUGGAAUAUCUCACCUCUGAUCCCAACUUCACUGACAAAUAUGGAGGAAAAUAUUUAUGAAGAAAUUCUCGAGGAAGAUGAGUAUGUUCACUUUUAUGCUCAAGAGCUGCUAAGGCCCAUUAGGAUUAUACAUUUCAUAUUCUUUGCAUUUGUGGUCUAGAUCGGAAGUACUGUUGAACUUGUAGAUUAUUAAUCAAAUAUUUGAUUUAAGUUCCUUGAACUAGUCAAAUGCUAUAAUCUUACAAUCGUAGGUUAAUAAUACAUUGGUAGAGAAGCCAACCAACUGAAGAAAAUGAGAAGUGUGUGGUUGUGAGAAAUCUUUUUGAGGUUCAGUUUGCAUUCAUUGAGAAAUUAUUUGUUUAUGAUUUCUGGAUUACAAGGAGAAGGAGAAAAAAGUAAUAGGCUGCUUGAAGAUGGAAGAGAAUAUUUGAACUUGAUUCGCUCUUUUGCUUUUCACCUUUGAAAUUGAUUCUUAAACAUUUUUUUUCUUUUGGUUGUGGAUAUGUUGGCUCUGCAAGCAAUACAAGCAAAUGUUCAACUUGAAUAAUGUCAAAUUACAGUUUACUGAGAAUGCACUCCGACUUAAUGUCGAGAAAGCCUUUACCAAAAACACUGGUGGACGAGGCUCAAGUUCUAUACUAUAAAGUAUUCUGAUUGAAGCCAUGUUUGAGGCAUUGCAUGUCACCAUAAUUUUAUGUAUUUGGUGUUAAUUCUAGAAGAGCUUGGUGUUGGGAACGCGGACAAGCACAAAAAUAUAUAUGGUAAAAGUAAUGGAAAUAAAAUGGGAAAAUAACGACACCAAGAAUUUUACGUGGAAACCCUUCUGAAUAAGGGAAAAAACCACGGGCCAAGAGGAGCAACUGAUAUUACUAUAGUCAGGAAUUUUACACUGUGUAGUCACGAAUACAAUACUCAAAGUGACUACUACACACUCAAAAGGAACAACACUCUUUUGGUUUCCGUCUUAUUAAAAUAUCGCUUAAACUCAAUUUUCUUUUCA